GGGAAUGUACCGGUGGGGGUGGUGGUGAAAAGACAGGUGGUGGAGGAGAGUAGACAGGCGGAGGUGGUGGGGAGUGGACUGGCGGUGGAGGAGAGUGGACAGGAGGUGGCGGAGAGUGAACCGGUGGUGGUGGAGAGUGGACUGGGGGAGGAGGAGGUGGCGGGGAGUGAACCGGUGGAGGAGGUGGUGGUGGAGAGUGAACCGGUGGUGGUGGAGAGUGAACUGGUGGAGGUGGUGGUGGUGGUGGUGGAGAGUGAACCGGUGGUGGUGGAGAGUGAACUGGUGGAGGAGGUGGUGGCGGAGAGUGGACCGGUGGUGGUGGGGAAUGGACUGGUGGUGGUGGAGAGUGGACCGGCGGUGGAGGAGAGUGAACCGGGGGUGGAGGAGAGUGGACCGGUGGUGGUGGAGAGUGGACUGGCGGUGGGGGAGAGUGUACCGGCGGUGGAGGAGAGUGAACCGGUGGUGGUGGAGAGUGGACUGGGGGUGGCGGAGAAUGAACCGGCGGUGGUGGUGAGUUAACCGGUGGUGGCGGAGAGUGAACUGGUGGUGGUGGAG
This 555-nucleotide long non-coding RNA is filed under the name Brassica rapa (field mustard). Its description in RNAcentral is "long non-coding RNA (BRAP_LNC002340)". The record is from RNAcentral. Lineage: Eukaryota; Viridiplantae; Streptophyta; Magnoliopsida; Brassicales; Brassicaceae.